RNAcentral lists this transfer RNA (77 nucleotides) under Microthrixaceae bacterium. RNAcentral describes it as "tRNA-Arg". It matches the Rfam family "tRNA". From Rfam's summary of the family: Transfer RNA (tRNA) molecules are approximately 80 nucleotides in length. Their secondary structure includes four short double-helical elements and three loops (D, anti-codon, and T loops). RNAcentral also lists the same sequence under 1 other name. Lineage: Bacteria; Bacillati; Actinomycetota; Acidimicrobiia; Acidimicrobiales; Microthrixaceae. The record is from RNAcentral.
GCCCUCGUAGCUCAGCUGGAUAGAGCAGCGGACUUCUAAUCCGCCGGUCGCAGGUUCGAAUCCUGCCGAGGGCGCCA